Molecule: long non-coding RNA, 604 nt
Filed under: Equus asinus (donkey)
Lineage: Eukaryota; Metazoa; Chordata; Mammalia; Perissodactyla; Equidae
Description: lncRNA (ENSEASG00005027900.1)
Source: RNAcentral
GGCGGAAUGAAAAGGGAGGGGAGAGCAGAGGAAGGGAAAGUCAGCUUUGUAGGUUUUUAAUUGCCUGUUUGUUUUCUCCGUCAAUUACAGGCAAAUUAAUAUCUAAACUUUGGGAGGCUGUGAGGAAGUGCUUACAGAAUAGAUUUCAGAGCCCAGGAUGUGAGGCCUUCUGCUUUCCACCAUCCCAGGGUUGAAAUUUCAUGUUUUUUCAAAGACCAUUGCAAAUGCUCUGUGUUCCUCACUGAACUGCACGGGAUUGUUUUCUUUCUUUGAAAUCAGCCCUUCGUGACUCCUCCCUGACCGGGUCCCACAUGGGCACUGCCAAACGGGAUGCAGUUUCCCAGGAAACGAUGUACCUGCCCCCAGGUGGACCUCCCCUGGGAGUAAACAGCCAUGUUGGUAACAACCACUGAACCCAACAGCGGGCUGACUUCAUCGCCGUCCUCUGGUCUUUUUGACAGUCUGGAUUCCAGUUUCAACCCUGUCCCAAACGGUGAGUUCCUGGAUAAACACCAUGGUGUUUGGUGAUACUGAUACUAUUCUAAGGAACUAAAGAUGUUUAACAUCACUGCUGAAAUUCAAAUUGCCAGUUACUCAACCGCCG